GGCCUGAUGGUCUAGAGGUAUGAUUCUCUCUUAGGGUCGUCCGACAAUUUGGGAGAGGUCCCGGGUUCAAUCCCCGGUUAGGCCC
Non-coding RNA from Rhodotorula graminis WP1, 85 nucleotides. The record is from the annotation of a RefSeq genome assembly. NCBI's taxonomy places the organism in Eukaryota, Fungi, Basidiomycota, Microbotryomycetes, Sporidiobolales, Sporidiobolaceae.